Molecule: ribosomal RNA, 669 nt
Filed under: Cortinarius sp. MLB-2010b
Lineage: Eukaryota; Fungi; Basidiomycota; Agaricomycetes; Agaricales; Cortinariaceae
Description: eukaryotic LSU rRNA
Rfam family: Eukaryotic large subunit ribosomal RNA
Source: RNAcentral
GUGACCUCAAAUCAGGUAGGACUACCCGCUGAACUUAAGCAUAUCAAUAAGCGGAGGAAAAGAAACUAACAAGGAUUCCCCUAGUAACUGCGAGUGAAGCGGGAAAAGCUCAAAUUUAAAAUCUGGCAGUCUUUGGCUGUCCGAGUUGUAAUCUAGAGAAGUGUUAUCCGCGCUGGACCGUGUACAAGUCUCCUGGAAUGGAGCGUCAUAGAGGGUGAGAAUCCCGUCUUUGACACGGACUACCAGGGCUUUGUGAUGCGCUCUCAAAGAGUCGAGUUGUUUGGGAAUGCAGCUCAAAAUGGGUGGUAAAUUCCAUCUAAAGCUAAAUAUUGGCGAGAGACCGAUAGCGAACAAGUACCGUGAGGGAAAGAUGAAAAGAACUUUGGAAAGAGAGUUAAACAGUACGUGAAAUUGCUGAAAGGGAAACGCUUGAAGUCAGUCGCGUCGUCCAGGGAUCAACCUUGCUUUUGCUUGGUGCACUUUCUGGUUGACGGGUCAGCAUCAAUUUUGACCAUUGGAAAAAGAUUAAGGGAAUGUGACAUCUUUGGAUGUGUUAUAGCCCUUGGUUGCAUACGAUGGUUGGGAUUGAGGAACUCAGCACGCCGCAAGGCCGGGUUUUUAACCACGUACGUGCUUAGGAUGCUGGCAUAAUGGCUUUAAUCGACCCGU